UGCAACCAAGGGCAUGUAAAACUGUAUCAAGUGUUUUGAGCCAGUUGUUUAGAAGAAAAACAUAACAGUAAAAGGUUUCGUUGAAGGAAAUUGUGCCUAAUUAAAGAAGGGAUUGAAAGUUAUUCACUCUUACAAAACAAGGGAAAACUAUGCUUCCCAAUAAGGAUGAUCAAGCCAUGGCUGCCUUCUUCUGAUCUUCCUCGAGCUUCUUCAGUUCUACCAGUCUUUCUACCCAUGCUCUACAUUGACUCGUCAAGAAGAGAUAGACGUAAAAUAGAAAACCCCAUAUAUAUAGACAUAUACAUGAAUAAAACCUCAAACUUCAAAGGAAUGGAGUGAAUUAUCGAAGUCCUUGAAAGAAGGUUCUUUAGCCUCUGAAUGGUCAUAUGAAGAAUGAUAUAUACAAUGAUCCAGAUAGCACUGAGCCUUAAGUUGCCAACUUCAAUGCUUGAUCCCAACCAAGAAAAUCCAGUGAGCCAACAGUAAGGAAAAAAGUCUGUAUAAAAAGACAGAUCCUCAGGACAUGAAAGUAGACCCAAUCAACAUGCACGUAGAUAUUUCCAGGUCAAGGAAGAUCAAAUAGAUAGUGCAUUGACAAGGAAGAAGGCGUGCGUUCUCAUACUUGAUUAUCUCUUUCUAUCUGGUUAUAUGCUUGAAACCACACAAAGCAAUAAGUGCUAGUAUAUGUAAAAAUCUCCAACUCUUGAAUCCAUUUCCAUCUAUGCAAAAACAAAAAGAUACAUGACAGCCUUUUCCACGUUUCAUCAAAUAAAAAAAAAGUAUUGCUGUGGAUUUAGUUUUAUAAGUGUCUUUUUAAUAUUGUUGUCAUUCUUCUUUAAUUUUCGUGUUGUUUGUUUCAUUGAAGCCAAAAGAAAGUGGAGUCAAAAGUAGGUAAGAGUUAAUAUUUUAUUUUUUUUCUUUAUAAAUUUAUGACAGGUGAUUCAAACCUUAAGUUUUAUUUUGUUCUUUCACUACAAGAAAAUAGGGUUUUCGUGAUGACGAUUGUCACCACGAAAAAGUAAAAUGUCGCCACUAAAAUACCUUUCGUGGCGACAGAAUGAUUGUGAACUAUACUUUUUUGCAGUGACACAUGCUAGUAGCCACAAAAGAUUAAUUUACAUGGCGACGUAUGUUGCCACAGAUAGUGUUUCAAAAUUGUCAUCACAACUCACUCCAAAGAUAUCGUCGCCACUAAAUAGUGGGCUUUGGUGGCGACUUAUAUCGCCAUAUUAGAGAAUUAGUAGAGAACGUGAUUGCCACAAAAAAGCUUACUUUUUGUGGCUAUGUUUGUGUCCACUAAUUAUGUUUUAGUAUUAAUUUGAUGUCGCCACUGAUCCCGACUUUUUAUGAUGCUGCAAUGUUGCCACUAAAUUAUUUUUAGUGGCAAGAAGUGAUCUCCACCAAAACUGUAGUUUUUAUGGCACCGAAACAUCGCCGCAUAAACAUUAAUUUUUGUGUCAACGAAACAUCAUAUCGCCACAAACUCUUCUUUUCGCAACGUUUAAUAUAUAUUACCACUUCAAAAGAAUUUUUCUAUUUGAAUAUAAUUAAUAUAAAGCUAUAAAUAUUAUACUAAUGAAUGAGAAAAUAUACAACCUGUUAUCAUUCUGCUCAAAAUAAAAUUAUAUAGAAACUUUUUUUGCAAAAAGUUCUAUGCAAUACAGUAGUGUCAUUGCAAGACACAAAUAAAAGAAGAAAAUAUAAUGUCUUUAAAUAAACUCUAAUAGCUUCUACCAUAAACAAAAAAUCAAAAAAGUGUCUUCAAACUACUUUUUGAGCUACUUUACUUCCUCGUUCUUGAAGUAUUUUUUCCCAACUGUUCAAAAAAAUUAAACAUCAUUAAUGUAUGUGGCUACAAUUAAUUAAAAAAGUACCACAAAAAAUUAUUUUAAAUGAGGUGCCAUAACUAGCUGCAAACAAUAGCUCAAUCAAUAAAGAAAAAGUAUAGCAUUAAUCUAAAUCUUUACCAUAUUUAACUAAAUAGGAAUGCUAAAAUGAUAGGCGGAGUUACCAAUUGGACCUCCAAGCUCUAAUCUUAUGCUGGCAGGUUACAACUUGUGAAAUCUGUCUUGUUUAGCAUCCAAACCUUUUGGUCUCAAAUCUUUCUACUCCCUAAGAAAGUGAUUACAGAAAAUUGAAGGAAAGGUGCCUUUUAAGUCUUGAAUGAAGGAUUGGUGACAUUGACCAACUUAAAGGGUCAAACAUAAUUAGAAAACUUGAUUAAGUUAAUUGUGGACUUGAUUAAUAUUUUUAAAACUUUCUAAUCUUUUCAAAAAUACAAAUCAACCCUACCCACACCCCUCUUCAAUCCCAAUCAACCCUCUUCUCUCUCUCUCUGGACAGCUUCUCCCAGCCAACAGUUCUACAAAUUUCUCCUUCCAAUCUCCAACGACUUCAACCUCCGAUAAUAAAUAGUUGGGCUUCGAGUUUCUUUUCGACUUCAACCUUCAAUCGACAUGACAGUCUUACUCUCCGGCCACAACAACUUUGAAUUCUUCAUCGUUCUUUUUCUUCAUUCACAGGUAAAAAAUUAUGGCUAUUUUAGUUUUGAAGAAAACGAGGAAUUUGAGCCAACUUCUCUUAUAGUAUUGGUUAACAAUUUCAAUAUUUAUUGCUUAAAUUUGAAAUGCGGUCUAAAUAUAACCCUAAUUUCUGGUAUUUCUUCUCUUCUCUUUUCGAAGUGAAUUAUAAUUUUUUGUUGUUUGUUGUAUUUUUUAGAGUUUGAUUUUUCAUGUUGCGCCAGUUGCUGAGUUGAUUUAUUAUGUUUUUAUUCUUGGUAAAAAUGGUGAUAUUGUUAUUUUUUUGUUGAACAAAAUCGUGCUACUGUUUUUUUUCUCCAACAGAUUAUCCAUCUAGUGCAUCAGAUUUAUCAUAUGAUACAACAGAUCAACCAUCUAAUGCAACAGAGGAACCAUCAAAUUAAAAUUCUGAUGCAACAGAUUAACAUCUAAUGCAACUGAUUCACCAUCUGAUGCGACAGAUUAAUCAUCUGAUGCAAUAGAGAAACCAUAAGAUAAAAAAUCUGAUGCAACAGAUUUAACAUAUGAUGCAACAGUUUAACUAUUUGAUGCAACAGAUUAAUUAUAUGUUGCAACAGAUUAAUCAUCUGAUGUAACAAAUUUACUAUCAGAUGCAAUAGAGGAACCAUAGGAUUAAAAAUCUGAUGCAAUGGAGGAACCAUUGGAUUAAAGAUUUGAUGCAACAGAUAAACCUUCUAUUGGAUAAAAUCCUAUCAACUCUUCCAACAGAGCAUGUCUAAGACUUGAUAUUUUCAACUGAUCAUUCAUCUGCCGCGAUAGACAACCCUUCUGUUGGAAGAAAUCUAAACAAUGUUGAUCGUUGAUAAUUGUUCCAACAAAUCACUUAAUGUUGCAACAGAUGUGUGACCUGUUGCACAGACCAUUCAUCUUUCUCAACAGAUAAGUGAUAUAUUUUAUAUUAUCACAACAGAUUACUCAGUCGUUGCUAUAGGUUAGUUAAUUAUUCCGAAAGAUCACUCAUAUAUUGCAACAGAUGUGUGAUCUGUUGCACAGACCAUUCAUUUUUCUCAACAGAUGAGUGGUAUGUUUUGUAUUAUUACAACAGAUUACUCAACCAUUGCUAUAGGUUAUUUAACUGUUCCAAUAUAUGACUCAUAUAUUGCAACAGAUGUGUGAUCUGCUGCAAAGACUAUUCAUUUUUCUCAAUAGAUGAGUGAUAUAUUUUGUAUUAUUGCAAUAAAUUACUCAUAUGUUGCAACAGGUUAUUUAACUGUUCUAACAGAAUAUUCAUAUAUUGCAACAGAUAUGUGAUCUAUUGCACAAACUAUUUAUCUAUCUUAAAAGAUGAGUGAUAUAUUUUGUAUUAUUGUAACAAUUUCUCAUCCACUGCAACAGGUUAGUUAUAUGCUGCAAUAGAUAUACUACCUGGUGCAACAGAUCAAUGAUCUGUUGGAACUAUUAUUUACUAUUUUUCUUAUUAGAUUUACUGUUAUCCUUUUUAAUGAUGCAUUAAUCAACUAUAAUAUAUUUUUUCGUGUUCCUGUUAAUUUUAGAUAAUAUGGCUCCCAGAAGAAUAAAAACCGAAACAAGUCCAAGUAAAGGAACAAGUGAAGCAGCUAGGCUACAUCCACCACUAUAUGAGCUUUCUUUACAAGCGUUAUCUCAAUCAGGAGCAGAAUAUGAUGAGCACGCGGGGGAGAAAUAUUUCAAAAGAGAUAAUCCAAAUGCUAAUAGCCUUCCACCAAUGAGUUGGUCAAAACCUUCAGCAUUCGUUAUUAUCCUGUGAGAAUGCAGUGUGAUGGUGCCACAGAUUUAACGGGUGAUUUCAUGAUUAAGUCAGUCAUGGAAAAAUCUUUUGACGCCUUUAGAAAAAUACUCCGAGAAAAAAAAAUGGAUGCUUAUUUCAGGGAUAGCUACUUUAGAAAAGAUCUUAAUUUGCCGGAGGACAACAAUGCUCAUUUUCAAAUAAAAAUGGUAUAUGAACUUCUCAAGCGUAUGUUUAUGUAUGAAAACAAAGAUAAGAUGGAUGAGGUGUGGAUAAAUUACUGUGGUAUUCCUGUUUGUUUUGAUUGGAAGGAGUUUGCCAUAGUUACUUGACUAAAAUGUUAUCCUCCUUCUCCUUCUCAAGUUAUACCUAUUCUGACCCAAAAAAAAAAUACCCCGCACACCCAAAAAAGGCAAAGGCAAGUCGUGUGAUCGUGAUGACCUGGUGUCCAUUAUUGGUCCAAGCUUCAAAAAUAAAAAUUUGAUAGAAGCGUUGUAAGGUAAAGGACUUUCAAAGAAGCACAAGCAAUCAUUGUGCUUGGUUUAGUUUGUACAUAAUAUUCUUUAGGCGAGAGACGUUAAUAACAACAUAAGCAUUGGUUUAAUAAAUCUCUUCAAGGAUCUUGAGGCAUUUAACAACUAUCCUUGGGGUUAUAAAAGCUUCAAAAUGACUGUCAAAUAUUUGUUGACUCUGUUAGCACCAAAGACAGUCAAUUAUAUGGCUUUCCAUGGGCUUUCAUGGUAAAUAUUUCCUUCUUUUGUUAUGAUAUCAUUCAUUUUCUUUACUUACUAAUGGUUUUGAUUUAUUGGCAUUAUUUUAUAGGCUUGGGCAUUUAAAGCCAUUCCUUUUUUGAGACAACAAGUGAACUAUCAGGAAGAAGUUUCCUGUCCAAGAAUCUUAUGAUGGUUGUCGGCCAAAACUGAUAAAAAUACAAAAUUUCUUGAUCUCUUCAACCCCCCGAAGGAUGCAGUAAGUAUAAUUAUAAUUAAUUUUUUAUUUUAAUUAAUGAUUUUUUUUGAAUAAUUUAAUCAUCAUUCUAAUAUAUGUAAUGAUUUAUGUUAGAUUAUGCAUCCAUCGCUAGUUCCGACCAUUCGAGAGUUGAAGAUGCUAGUUUUUAUUACUUUAUGGUCUGUACAAACUUUAUCGGAUCCUAAGGUCACUGACAGAACAAAAAUGAAAUUGUUUGGAGCAAUAACUGUUACAAGAAAAAUAAUUUUGGAGAGUUAAUUUCGGAGGGUGAGCUUGUUGUUAUUAAUGGUCUUAGUGGUGAUGGAGCUUUUGGUGGUGGUUGUGGUGCUGCUGUUGAUGCUAAUGAUGCUCCUCUUACAGUAUUUAAAACAAACCAUUAUGAGUAUGAUUAUACUAGUUAUACAGAUUUUGCCUCUCCCGGCGAAUGUUCUACAUGCAAAUGUCAAGACUGUAAGUCAAAACAUGAUGUAGUGAUUAAUGAUAUUAAUGCAUUAACUGCUUCUAUAAAAGAAUUGCAUCUAAGAGGGGUGUCAUUUCAUCAAAGAGAAUUUUAUAUCCAUCCACCUCAUUAGAGAUUAAGACUAAGAGGAGAAGGAAAGUGAUUUCCAAGACAUUAUCAAGCAUCCAAAAAAGCAAAAUUGCAAUUCCUCUGUCUAUGUGUUGCACUGAGCAAUGUACAAUGUCCAAAGAAGAGCAACACGAGCUGAAGAAGGUGAAUAUAUAUGUUUGUUCCAACUAACAAACAGACACAUAUCUGUUUCAGCAAAUGACAUAUCUGCUAAAAAUUAUCAAACAUAUAUAUAUAUUUGUUGCACCAGAUAAAGUAUCUGUUGUGAUAUAUGUCUUGUCUGUUUUGGCAAAUCAAACAGCUCUUCACACCGAUUUUAUUUAAACCAAUAGAUGACCUAUCUGCUGCAACAAAUAAGUCAUAUAUUGCAAUAGAUGGUUCAUCUUUUGGAGAUUAUCAUAUAGGUCUUCCUCAUGUAGAUAUUUUCCCCAACAGUUGAUUCAUUGUUCCAACAAAAAUAUAAUAUAUUUGGGAUAAUUUAAAAUAGGAGGAAGACAUAUUUCAUUUGCUAAAACAGAUGAGUUAUCUUUUUUCGUUUUGUUGUAUCUUAGUGAUUAGCAUUGAUCAAUUUUGGAUUUCCAGGUGGAUGUAGAAGCUACUAUUGAACAACAUUGACAAUAUGCUACUCUUUUUAUGGAAACAGGGAGAGCAGAAAACGCAGAAACUGUACGUAAGCGACAAUAAAGAUCCUUGACGACCAAAGCCGAAUUCCAAGCACCAGAUGAAGAAUAACUUAUCCAUAUUGAGUAGAUCUUUAUAGAUUGAGUCUGUCAAAGUAAUAACCUCACCCCUCCUUAGGAAUCCUUGGCAUCAAUACUUAAAUUGUUGAUGUAUUUGUUAAGAUCUGUGCCCAUAAUAAUUUUUUUACAUUUCAUUUAUUCAUUGAUUUAUUUCAGUUAAUUUCUGAAGGCUUCGAUUUAUUUUAUUUUGUCUAUGAAUUUUAAUUUUUCCUUUGAUUUAAACUUAUUAAUUGAAAUGAAAUACUAGAUUCAAAAUGUUGCAACAGAUAAUGUGUUUGUUGCAACAGACGACACAUCUGCUGGAAAAUAUCAAACAGAUUUAGACAUAUGUUGCAACAGGUAGGUAAUUUGUUGGAAUUUAUCAAACAGGUAUUCCCACUAUUGUAACAGAUAGACUUAGAUAGAAACAUCAACAUAAUGCAACAAAUGAUCAACCUAUUACAACAGAUAAACUAUAUGUCAGAAUAGGUAGAAUAUUUAUUGCAACGGAUGGAGAAUCUAUUGCAUUAUAAAAAUUUAACUUUCAUUGGACAUAAAAAAUUGCCACUACAUGUAAAAAAAUGAAAGUGAAUUGAAAUAAAAAAGGCAAAACCUAUCGACAGUGUUCAGUUCAUAACACCUAAAAUAAAAUAGCCAUCAAGUAGACAAUGUUCAUUUUAAACACGUAAAAUAAAAUAGGCAUCAAAUGUGUCAGUUUGACACUUUUUGCCCUGUUGGAUGCUUGUGUGUAAUUCACGCAGCCAAGGCUUACCGAACCCUCAUUUUUGCUGACUUGGCGUCUGAUUUGGCCCCCAACGGUCAUUUUUCUCCUAUUGUCUUAUAUAUUCAUCUUCUUCCUAAAAUUUAACCCUAAAUUCCCAAAUCUUGUUCUUCAUCAUCAUCUUUUUUUAUCUAUCCAAAUUCUUCAAAUUAUUUACAUUUAGUUUUUCUUUCUUCAUCUUUUUUUUAUUUUUUUCAACCGAGCUUGACAAUGUUGAGUGCAUCUUCCGCUAUUUUUUGUGAUAAAGAUUUCUGAUAUUAUAAGUGCGGUUAUGAAUCUCUAUUGAAGACUUCUUGGACUCGAAAAAAUUCAGGUCGUAGGUUUUUUACUUGUAAGAUUUCAAAGGUAAUAUUUUUUUAUUUAAUUAGUUGAUUAAUUACUGACUAUUAAUUGCUUUGUAAUUGUGUUUUUGUUUUAAUAGAAAUUGGGUGGAUGCGAUUACUUUGAUUGGUAUAAAGAACGACACCCUUCACAAAAAAAUCGUGUAAUUUGGGGUUUGUUGAAGAAAGUCAAGGCUUCUGAAGAGAAAUAAAAUCGAGCAAGUAGAUACUACAUUAUUGCCAUUAUUGCUACUGAUUUGGUGUCGUUGGGCAUAUGGAUAUUGUAAUACCCCACACUUUUCCUAGUUCAAAUUCAUCUCUACAACAUCAAAGAUCUUGCUUCAAAGAUAAAUUUUAUUCCAUAAAAUUUUUUUAAGAUUUGACUUUUUAUCACAUGGAAAAUUAAAUAAGUUUUCCAUCGAUAUCAAAUUCGCCCAAAUUCGACACUCGGACAAAAAAUUAGAGCCAUUUUAGUGAGACAGUGUACCACCUGGUACUUUGGCGCGUCGCGGAGUCAGCUAAAAUGACAAUUGUCAAAAUCCAGUGAGCCUCCACGAUUAUGGCGCGUCGCGCCAAGGCUCAAUUUCAGAAUUAUCAAAUUUCAGUAGCUCACUGUUUUCCACCGCGUCACAGUGAAGCUUUUAUAGGCAUUCUAGUUCUGAAUUUUAAUUCCAUGGGCAAAAUAGUCAUUUUGCUAUCCCUAUAUAUACUCUUUAACACAAGAUUCAGCCACAUUGAACUCAAAUAUUGUUGUUUUCUCUCAAUUUUCCUCAAAAACAAGAGCUAGGGUUACAAAAUCAAGACCUCAAUCAUCAAGGUUUCACCAUUAAUCUUUCGAGGAUCAAGUAGUAAGGUAUGCAGAUGUUGAUUCUUGGGUUCCUUACACCCAAGAAGUUCAAGAAUCCCUUUUUAAAUUCAAAGGAUACGAUUUUAUGAGUUUUUCAUGAUUCACGUGAAUUGAAGUUCAUGUUCAUGUUAUUGUUGAGUUAUAAUUCAUGCUUUAGAAUACAAGUUGCAAGCUUUGAUCUUGAUUUGGGUUGAAUUACAUUAUGUCCUUAUUUUUCAUCAUUAACUUAAAUGCCCUUAUUUUUUUAAAAAAAUAACAAAUAUAGAAAUCUUCUCAAACUCUGUUACCUACAAAGACAGAGAAACGACUGAUAUAAGCCAGAAUGAAGUAAAAAAUAACAUCCAUGUGGUUAGAAAUAAGAAGAAAAUCGAUCUAUUGUGAAGGGCUGAGCAAUUUAUUGAGUAGUUGUGUAUACUGUAUUGUUGAGAGAGAGAAAAGAGUGAGAACUCGAGAUUUGAAAUGAUGAAACAUUUUUAUCGCAAAUGGAUGAUCUGUAUAGGUUGAUUUGUAUUUUAAAAAAUAAUGAAAAGAUUUUAAAAAUGUUAAUUUGGUCCGAAUUGAUCUUAAUUAUUUUUUAAAAUUAUAAAAGAUAUGCAUAAUUUUUAACCCUCUCAUCAUGCAAUUGCCAAAAGACACAAUUGAAGUUGUAGUUGACUCUAUUAACUCACCCCUGGUCCUAGAUUAAUCAAUUUAAGUAUUAGUUGAACAUAUGAACUCAAUUAAAAUUGUAUAAACAGAAAAGGUACAAAUAUACCCCUGAACUUUGAUAAAUGGUAUAGAUAUACCCUCCAUCAUACUUUAGGUAUAAAUAUACCCUUGCCGUUAAUGAAAAGGAACAUAUAUACCCCUGAACUUUGAUAAAUGGUAUAGAUAUACCUUUCAUCAUACUUUAGGUAUAAAUAUACCCUCCAUCAUACUUCAGAUUACGCAUGUGUUGUAAAUUAUCAAUCAGAUUAAGUCAUUUGUUGCAAUAGAUUAUCCAUCUAUUGUACAUUAUCAAACAAAUUAAGUCAUCUUUUGUGAUAGAUUAUCCAUCUAUUGUAAAUUAUCUAAUAGAUUAAGUCAUUGAUCACAACACAUCUAUUGUAAAAAUAUCAAAUAAGUACUAUCAUCUAUUUUAGUUGACCCUAUGAGAACUCACCCCUAGUCCUAGAUUAAUCAAUUAAGGUAUUAGUUGAACAUAUGAGGUAAUAAAAAUUGGUUCACCUCAGAGUGAUCGAUCGACAAAUCUGGUCGGAAGAAACAUAAUACUGUCUCAUCAUGCAAUCGUCAAAAGACUCAAUUAAAGUUGUAAUUGACCCUAUGAAAACUCAUCCCUAGUCCUAGAUUAAUCAAUUAAGGUAUUAGUUGAAUAUAUGAGGUAAUAAGAAUCGGUUCAUCUCAGAGUGAUCGAUCGAUGACUCUGGUCGGGAGAAACACAAUAUUGUCUCAUCGUGCAAUUUCCAAAAAACUCAAUUGAAGUUGUAGUUUACCCUAUGAGAACUCACCUCUAGUCCUAGAUUAUUCAAUUAAGGUAUUAGUUAAACAUAUGAGGUAAUAAGAAUUAGUUCAUCUCAUAGUGAUCGAUCGACGAUUCUAGUUGGGAGGAAUCCAAUACCGUCUCAUCAUGCAAUUACCAAAAGACUCAAUUGAAGUUGUAGUUGACCCUAUGAUAACUCACCCCUAGUCCUAGAUUAAUCAAUUAAGGUAUUAGUAUGACAUAUGAACUCAAUUAAAAAGUAUAAAAACAAAUGUUUAACCUGUUGCAACAGAUUAACCAUAUAUUGUAAUUUAUCAAACAGAUUAAGUCAUUUAUUGUAACAGAUUACCUAUCUAUUGUAAAAUAUCAAACAAAUUAAGUUACCUGUUGCGACAGAUUACUAUUUUAUGUAAAUUAUCAAAGAGGCAUUGCCAUCUGUUAUAGUUGACCCUAUGAGAACUCACCCUUAGUCCUAGAUAAUCAAUUAAGGUAUUAGUUGAAUAUAUGAGGUAAUAAAAAUUGGUUCAACUUAGAGUGAUCGAUCGAUGACUCUGAUCGGGAGAAACGCAAUACCAUCUCAUCAUGCAAUUGUCAAAAAAACUCAAUUAAAGUUGUAGUUGACCCUAUGAGAACUCACCCCUAGUCCUAGAUUAUUCAAUUAAGGUAUUAGUUGAACAUAUGAGGUAAUAAGAAUUGGUUCAUCUUAGAGUGAUCGAUCGACGACUCUGGUCGGGAGGAAUGCAAUACCAUCUCAUUAUGCAAUUGCUAAAAGACUCAAUUGAAGUUGUAGUUAACCCUAUCACCUCUAGUCCUAGAUUAAUCAAUUAAGGUAUUAGUCUAACAUAUGAACUCAAUUAAAAUUGUAUAAAACCAAGUGUUCAACCUGUUCCAACAGAUUAACCAUAUGUUGUAAUUUAUCAAACAAAUUGUCAUUUGUUGCAACAGAUUGCCCAUUUGUUGUAAAAUAACAAACAGAUUAAGUCAUUUGUUGCGACAGAUUACCCAUCUGUUGUAAACUAUAAAAUAAGAGCUUCCAUCUGUUGUACUUGACCCUAUGAGAACUCAUCCCUAGUCCUAGAUUAAUCAAUUAAGGUAUUAGUUAAAUAUAUGAGGUAAUAAGAAUCGAUUCAUCUCAGAGUGAUCAAUCGACGACUCUGGUCGGGAGGAACGCAAUAUCGUCUCGUCAUGCAAUUGUCAAAAGACUCAAUUAAAGUUGUAGUUAACCCUAUGAGAACUCAAACCUGGUCCUAGAUUAAUUAAUUUAGGUAUUAGUCUAACAUAUGAACUCAAUUGAAAUUGUAUAAAAUAAAUGUUCAAUCUGUUGCAACAGAUGUCUUUUCUGUUGGAUUUAAUGAAACAGAUGAAGUCAUCUAUUGCAACAUAUUACUCAUCUGUUGUAAAUUAACAAACAGUCAUUGCCAUCUAUUGCGACAGAUGACCGAGCUUUGGGAAUUUUCAAAGAGAAAUUGUUAUUUAUUGCACUUAGAUGUUUUAAGAUCCUUUUUAUUAAAGCAAUUUAGGUAUUUCUUGUCCAAGAUAAAAAAAAAGAUAAAAUACUAAGGUGGUAAAAAAUAUUACUUGGAUAACUCAAAAAUCUCUUGAGUGAGUAGUCUUAUUUGGUUUUUUCAAUGUCACCAUCUCCUCGUGCCCCUCAAAAGUUAUUAAUGAAUAUUUAAAACUCAUAUCUAGAAUACUCUCUCCUUCAUCCAUAAAGUAAGACUCAACUCAUCUCUCUUAUUUAUUCUUAAUUCUCUUUUUUUCUCUCUUCUUUCGGAUGAGGAUCCUUUUGGAUCUCAAUCGAUCAAUAUUUUUUCUCGAUUGAACUGGAUGUUCUGAUCCCUUUGCUUUUUUGACAUUGCAGGUAUGGUUCACUAUUGUUCUUUCCAUCUUGUCUUCUUCUUUGUAUGUCAUUUAAAUUAGAUAUUUACAUUUAUUGCUAUUAAUGAUUUACCCAUUACCGAUUUCCUAUUUAUUGAGAAAAUUGAAGGAAAGGUGAGUUUUAAGUCUUGAAUGAACGAUCCAUUAUUUUUAUUACAACAUGCAAAAAAAAGUCAUUUGUUGGGAGAACCUAAAAAGCCUUAUUGUCAGUAUAUUUUUUAUGUCUUUUGUUUGUUACUUUGGUGUUGCUAUUGUUGGGGGUGGUGGUCGUGUUGGAACAUAUGGUGUUUGUGUUAUUGAUGGUGCUGGAAUAUAUGGUGUUGUUUCUUUAUUGUUGAUGCUAUUGGUGGUGGUGUUGCAACAGUUUCCUCAACUGUUACAACUGAUGAAUCAACUGUUGGAACAGACGAAGCAACUGUUUGAAGAAAUCAAAUCAGUAGCAAGGUUGGUUUGAUUUAUUCCAACAGAUGACCCAUCUGUUGUAAUAUUUCAUCCAUUUGUUUCAAUAGAUAACUCAUCAAUUGAAUAGAUGGGUAAUCUGUUGCAUUAAAUUGAUCACUAUUGAUUCACUCAAUUUUGUGUUACCCUUUUGUAAUGUUCUUUUUGUUUUUCUCUUAUUUGACAUCAAAUGUAUUUCUCUUGUUUUCAAAUAAAGGGAGGUAAAAUUGGAUCCACUUUUGCCUAACCAGCAUUAAAGGUUAGAGUAAAGAUAGGUUUGAAGGAAUAAGCUGCUUGCAGAUGAAACCACUUCAUAUGUGGGAGACAUGUAUUACUAAUCAACCUAGCGUGAAAACACACAUCCAGUACAAUGAUUUUGUGAAUUUUUGUUAUUUACAUAUUAGGUGUUAAUCCGUCAAACAAGAUAUGACAUUUUACUGUUAAGAUUGUUAGGUUUGAACUGGUAAGGCUGAGGAACCAAGUAGGUGGUGUCGAUACCCUGUUACAAUCGAAUGAUCGUUUAUGCUCAUUUUUUGUGUCAAGUUUGGGGAAGGGUUCAAGUUUUUGGCGGCAGUGUAAAUAUCCAAUAAUGAUUGAACCAAUUUUAAUGGUACAAUGGACUUCUUGAAAGGCCUCCAAAGCCUCGCGUUGCAACAAACAAUAAUGGAACCAAUAGAAAUUCCCCUGGUCCAAAUUUAUAUGGAUGGGUUACUGGAGGAGACUAUUAUAUAGCAGAAGGAGCUUGGGAGAAUACCUGUACGAUAAGGGAGAGAUUGAGAAGGCCAUAUAUCAUCUCAGACCUUAUUUAAGAGGAAACACAGGUUAGGAAGAAAAGUGUAGUGAAAUUAGCUAAUGAAAUUGACAUGAAAAACGAAAAAACUAGAUGAUCUGCAAAUGUGAAAGUGUAUCUAAAAAUAAAAAUUCAUCAGUCGUUGAAGAAAAAGAAGAAUGGUCAAGAGGACUGGAGCUGGUCACUUUACUAGAGACUACAACUAGAGAGCAUGGCCUCAAUGAAGACCCACAAAAUGUAGGACCGGAACUCUAAGAAAGCAGCUACGCGAGCACAGAAGGUGGUAAAAUUAUCGGUCAGAAUUAAAACCUGAACCAACUGCUCCUGAAUUAAAAAUAUAGGAACAAGCCAAGGUGGCAAUUUCUCAAGUUAAACUUGCAUCCCAUGCCUCCUGUUUAUGGCUUUGGUCAGGUCAAAGGCAAUGGAAACAACAAGGCAUGGGAUUUCUGCGCAACUUCAGACCUUUUUGUUUCUACUACCAUUGAACUGAUCAUAGCCACAAACAGAAGACAUGGCAUGCACGUUAGACUUCAAAAAUUGAAGCCUUGACUUCCCUUAUUUUUAAUUCAGGAGUUGUUGGUUCAGGUUUCAAUUCUGACCGACAAUCUUACCAAUUUCCUGUGCUCAUAAAGCUUUUUCCUUAGAGUUCUGGUCCUGUACUUUGUGAGAGUCUUCAUUGAGGCCACACUCGCUAGUUUCAUUCUCUAGCAAAGUGUCCAGCUCCAGUCCUUUUGGCCAUUUUUUUCUUUCAACAACUGACGGAUUUUUAUAUUACGAUACACUUCAUCAUUUGAAGCUCAUCCAAUUUUUUCGUUUCUCAUGUCAAUUUCAUUGGCCAGAUUCGCUAGAAUUUCCUUACUUGAUUCCCUGUGUUUCCUCUUAAACAAGGUCUGAGAUGAUAUAUGGCGUUCUCAACCUUCCCCUUUCCGUACAAGUAUUCUCCCAAGCAUCUUCUGUUGUAUAAAACUCUCCUCCAGCAAUCCAUCCAUAUAAAUUUGGAAUAGGGGAAUUUCUAUUGGUUCUAUUGUUGUUUGCUGCAGUGCAAAGCUUUGGAGGCCUUUCAAGAAGUCCAUUGCACCAUUAAAAUGAGUCCAACCACUAUUGGAUAUUUACACUACCGGUAAAAACUUGAACCCUUCCCCAAACUUGACAUAAAUACAUGAGCAUAAAUCAUUAUUAAAUUGUAACAGGGUAUCAACACCACCAUCUUGGAACCCUUCGACCUUAUCAGUUUGCACCUAUCAAACUAAAUUGUACAAUGCAGGAUCUUGUUUGAAGGAUCAGUAUCUAAUCGGUAAAAAACUGCAUUCACAAAAUCAUUGCACUUUAUUUGUGUCUGUCACGAUAGCCUGAUCAAUAAUACAUAACUCUCAUGCAUGAAAGUGGAUCCAUUGCAGGCACCUUAUUCUUCCUACUCCAUCAAGACAUGUCAGACAGUGUUGUUUAUUCAUCUGCACGCAUGUGAUUACUACUAAAAAAAGUGUGGAGAGACGUGACUUUUUAUGUUAACACAUUCAAAAUAGUUGAUGAAUCAAAAUCUCCAUCUGUUGCAAUUGAUGAAUCAGUUGUUAGAAGAAAUCAAAAUAUAUUCUCCAACAUAUGGUCCAUCUGUCGCAACAGAUAAUCUAUAUGUUGCAACAGAUGUCUCAUCUAUUAUACAUACAUACCAUCUGUUGCAACAGAUGAUAAAUCUGUUGCGAAAGAUAGACGAUCCAUUGCACCAUCUCAAUAAUAACAGUUGUUAUCAAGUCCUCAAACUGUUUUGAAAAAGUGAGAAGUAUUAAUAUAAAAGAAAAAGUUAGACUUUUCACAAAAAACAAAAUGUCAGUAGUUUGAAUGUAAUUAAUACAAUAGAGCUGAACAGUCGUGUCUUUAUACUGAGUAAAUCUAUCAAUUGGUAGUAUACAUUGUAUUACAUUCAGACUCUUUUCUUUACUUUUGUGUCUAUAUUUUUUGUCAAUUCAUGCAUGUUCUAGAUAUGGUUGUUCCUGUUUGGGACAUUGCUAUUCUGUGGACAUAGUGCGGAAACUUCAGAGGCAGGUUAAUGAUCUGUAGUGGGAGUUGGGCGCUGUGAGAGUAAGGAUUCUCCAAGAGAUUCGCAGGCUGAAGAGGCCCCUGCUGCUGCCGGUUGAAGAUUGACCGGCUGGUAAUAAUAAUGAUGCUGAUGAUAAUAAUAAUAAUAAUUAGAAUGUGUUUUUUGUUGUAGCGUAUGUAUUUUAAUUUUUCUAUAUCAGAUAUCUAUACCUAACGUAUUUUAUUUUUUUUAAUAAAAAAAUUAUUUUUAGUCGACUUUGGCUUUUUAAUUCUUAUUCAAUUUUCAUUCUGUCUAUUUCUUCUAAACAUAUAUGUUAACAUAUCGACGGUUUAAGGUAAGGAAGAAUUUUGAAUCCAGUUUACAAUAGCAAUUCUGUCUUUUGAGUUCUUUAAACAGAUGGACCAUGUGUUGGAACAGAUUGUUCGUCGGUUGGGUUUCUGUCAACAGAUUAUUCAUCUAUUGCGAUAGAUUUGUUAUCUAUUGGAGGAAAACAUUUCAGUUUGACGAACUGUAUUGUGUUCUCCCAGCUAAUGUCGAUCCAUUGCAAUAGAUUGGUAGUCUGUUCAAAAUAAUUGUGGUCUGUUGUAUUUAGUUCAUGUUUUGCCUCUUUUUAUUGAUGCACAAACUAUUAAAAAGGAUGUUUUAUGCUAGAAAUUUUGGCUUUUGAGUUCUUUCAACAGAUGGACCAUGUGUUGGAACAGAUUGUUCAUCGGUUAGGUUUCUAUCAAUAGAUUAUACAUCUAUUGCGAUAGAUUUGUCAUCUGUUGGAGGAAAACAUUCAAGUUUGAUGGAACUAUGUUGUGUUCUUCCAGUUAACGUCCAUUUGUUAAGAUGCAAUGUCGUCUUACUUUCGAGAUUUAUAAACUCAAUCAUGUAACGGUAGGCAUACAGGACUGCAUACCCAUGCUUGUGUGUCGCCUUAACAAAGUCCUUAGCAAUCCCCAUGGCUGUAUAUAUCUUCCAAUAACUGACCAGGACACCUGAUUCCGUAAGGAUUUGAUUGGCCAUAACUCUUGUUGAAGGGCCUUUACCGUCGGGGAAACUACUCAUAAAAUAUUCAUCGAGGACCUUUGCCGUGGCGUGAGGAUUUUGGAUCGAUAUGUGCUCUGAACCACUUGUGUGAUGCUUUUUAUGUUUAUGAAUGAUGAAUCUAUCAGAACUUGUGUACUUCACUGAUACGGGUGUCACGAGCUGGAGACCAUUUACUAGAAGUCAAGCUCAGGAACUACAAAGGCUUCAAGGCGUGUUUAUGAAAAUGGAUAUGGUUGAGCUUGUUACGAACUCGCCCAAAGGGGUGUACGUCUUGACAUGUGGGGGAUGACCUUAGGGGCCCAAAAGACACCCCAAGGCUUCCCCAAACACUCCACACCCGCCACCCCUUCAUUAAGGGCAAAAAGGUCUUUUUACCAUCCUUUUUUGUAAAGACUAUUUAAGGUAUUUCUUUAGUCUUGUUCUCUUUAGCUAGCUCAUUUUAAAAUCACUUUGUAACAUUGAACACCAUAUUUCCACUCAAGAAGAGAGUAUACCGCCAAACAUUUUAAGCUUCACAAGUGAAAGGUUCCACUUGUGUUGUGAGACGGCUAGAAAUGAGAGUGCUUGAGUGAACGGAGUUCCUAUUGUGUUCCCGUAAGAACUUGGUUCUUGUUAAUGUGAUUUGUAGAGGUUUUAGAGUUUGAUACACUCUAUAGUUGCUACAUUUUAUAUCUCUUUGUGUCAAGUUAUCUAUCUCCUUAUCUUUUAAGUUUGUAUGUUUGUUGUUUCCGUUUGAUGUCUUGUACGUGUGGACUGUUUUGUGAGUUUGUGGACUGUUUUGUGCUCUUGUAGAUAACAUUUGGUAUCAUUUGGUAUCAGAUAGAAGGAUGGUCAUGUUCUUACGCACCAAUCGCGGGCUCUUCUAGUUGGAAAAUUCCAAAAAAAAAAAGAAAAGAAAAGGCAAAAAAAAGUGUUAUCUGGUGACUUGUGUUGGUCGAGAAGUGUCUAGAUUUAGGUGUUAUUUUUACUUGUCUUAGUAGUUUCGUGUGUUAUAUUGUUGUCCCCCUAGAACACUUGAGUCUAAGGUCCAAGAUUUGAAGCUUUGUUUAGUGUUAUUGAAGGGCUGGACAGUGUGAAUGUUGUUGUUGUUCAUAAAUGUUCUUAUUGUUCUUCAUAAUGUUCUUGAGGUGAGUUUUUAACAAAAGGGGUGUUUGAUUUGAAAAGAGUAAGAGAGAGGUUAGGUCUUGUGUUUGUCUUGGAAAUAGUUUCAAGAAAACACCAAAGAGGCAAAUCAGCCAAAGACCCCCAAAAGUUGCCUUACCAAAAGAGUGUCAAAACCUUUUUCAAGAAGGGCCAAAAGAGGAAAGGGACAAAGCCAAAACAAAAAGGUGUUUUGCCAUUUUGGUGCAAGUUGGUGAAAAGUUUAUUGACACCUUUUUGACCUUUGGAAAAAGAGUCCAAGUCCUUGUCUUGGUACUCCAAAACUAAAAAUCCUCAUCAACACACAAGAUUGAACCCCUUAAGUCUUGAAAAAAAAAUCAUACUCCACUUCAACAACAAAUUCAAACGGCCAAAAAGAAAAAGAAGUGAGGGCCACAUCAACAACAAAACUCAAGUCGUAGGACCUUCCAAGUUUAUUUUCUUGUCUCUACUAGUUUCCUUUCUAGUGACUCCUACACUAGUUGGCAACUAAGUAAGAACCUACUAAGUUGUGAACUAGUUUUCGAGUAUGUCUUUGUGUCAACGUUCUUUGUGGUGCUUUUCUCAUUUAAAAUUCAUAGUUGUUUUUGGUUCAAGUGUGUACAAAAAUUUUUUGAGUCUUCAAAUCAAAAUCCACUCCAACUCAAGAGUCGACUGAUUCCCAAGUUCUCACAAGUUGAUAGCCGGCUUACAACACUUGAAGAACCAAGUGAGGAAGCCGAGUGUGAAGAUUGUGUGAGCGUAUUUUGAACUAACGUUUAUUCAUUUUGUAGGUGCAUUAGCAAAUGGAACCAUUACACAUGGAACCCGAAACUUCCAAUGCACAAACCAUGGACCAAAAUGUUUUGAAUGCUCUUGUGGCUAAUCUUGAAUCCUUGUCUCAGGAUGUAGCUAGAGUGAAUGUGGGUCUUGAUAAGUUAGGGGUAGAAGUGGCCUCUAUUAGUGGUCAAAUGGAAAGGGUAGAAAGCUAAUAGAGUUCUUAACCCUCAACUCCUCAAAACACAUCCCCAACCAUUACCCCCGAAGCCACACACCCAAGAAUGCACCCACCAAAUGCCAUACCUCAAGCUAACUAUUAUUCACAAGGUCGAGGCCUUGAAAGACCUAGCCAUUCUCUACAUCACCAAGUUCUACAUGACGGACUUGGAACCCAAAUGCCACCCUUAAAUCCGACUCCUCCAAAUCAAAAUCAGCCAAUCCAAAGAGCUCCACCACUAAAUACCAAUCUGCCAAACGAAAUUCCAAAUGUCCAAAACCCACCAAUAUAAGAAGAGGGAUUUGUGAGAGAGAACCGAAGGAGGGGGUAUGAAAUGUAUGAUGAUUCUUAUUUGAUGGAAGAUGGGAUGAGAGGUAGAAGGGUAGAACCUAGGAAGAAUCGGGGGCUUGAAGGUAGGGGAGACCAAGGUGUUCGGGAAAGGGAUGUUGGCCUCAACACCAUAAAAAUGGGGCUUCCAAUCUUUAUGGGAGAAAGUGAUCCAGAAGAUUUUCUCGUAUGGGAAUCCGCAUGCGAGAGAGUCUUUCAAGUGAAUGAUCUCACGGAGGAGAAACAGAGUUGCUACGCCAUUACUCAUUUUGAGGGAUAUGCUACCACGUGGUGGGAGUAUGACAAACGUUUUGGCAACGUAUUGAUUGAGGGGUAAGCCCCUUCUUGGUUUCGAUUAAGGUAUCUUAUGAGGCAAAGGUACCUUCCCAAAAGCUAUCAAUAUGAACUCCUUGCAAAAUUGUACAACUUGAAGCAAGGAAACAAAAGUGUGGCAGCUUACUAUGACGAGUUUCAACAACUCAUCUUGAAACUUGAUCAUAGAGGAGAGCAAGUGAGCAACGAUAUCAUCCGGUCAAGGUCGUCCUAAAUAAGGAAAUCUCUACGCACAUGACACUUUAUAAGUUUGAAACUAUUGAAGGGAUCUUUCAAGCGGCUUUAGAGAUUGAACGAGAGAACAAGAAAAGGUCGGCAUACAAAACCAAAUCCCACCAAGGGUCCUCGGGUUGUACCAAGGGGAAAUAAAUUGUUUCGUCAUCUUUGGGGUGGAACAAAUUUAAGCAACAACCAGCCAAGACCCCACCCGUGAGAAAGAGUGCUCAACCACUUCCUCCACGGUUUGAGGGCAAGCCGAAUGUCUCUUCCAACAUCAAGGGAUUCCAAUGCUUAAAAUGCCAUGGAUGAGGACACAAGGCUAGUGAAUGUCCUAAUCGAAGAAAUAUGAUAUUAAGGAAAGGAAAAUUGUAUGUCUUGGGGGAAGAAUUGGGGCUUGAAACGGUUGAAAAUGAAGAAGUUUCACAAGAUGGAGAGGGAGAAGAGGCCGAGAGGCAUAGUGAUGAUGAUGAAGAGGAUUUUUGGCCUCAAGAAGGCAAACUUAAAGUAUCUAACUAUGUUGUACAUAGAGUUAUGAUUAGCAAAGCGUUGGAUGAUCCUAGCCAACGGGAGAACUUCUUUCACACCAAGUGCCUCAUUAAGGGGAGUGUGUGCUCCUUGAUUAUUGAUAGCGGGAGUUGUGCUAAUGUAGCUAGUGCCUCGAUGGUGGAUCACUUGAAAUUGCCAACUACUUCACAUGCGAGUUCGUAUAGGCUUUAAUGGUUGAAUAAUUAUGGAGAGUUGAAGGUGACUCGGCAAAUAGUGAUUCCGUUCAAAGUUGGAAAUUAUGAAGACAAGGUGCUUUGCGACAUCAUUCCUAUGAAAGCUUGUAAUCUUUUGUUGGGUCGGCCAUGGCAAUAUGAUAGGUCGACCAAUCAUGAUGGCCAAACCAAAUAUUAUUCCUUUGAGUUCAAGGGUAGUAAGUAUAACCUCGGACCACUAUCACCAUCACAGGUGUGUGAGGCACAUGGACAAAUGAAGAGUUUGCAAGGAAAGGGAAAACAAGAUAAAGAACCCAUGGGUAGGGGAGAGGAACCCGAGAGUGGGAGGAGUGAGGGUAAAGAAGGUGUUUUGGUAUUGAGGGGUAGGGAUUCGAUGGUAAUGUUGGCUCUCAAGGGCAACAUUUUCAAAGAGUAUGAUGAUACUACUCCCAUGCUAUUUUUGGCUCAUGUUUUGAAUGCUAACUCAUCCACUUCUCCAAUCCCGUCUUUUAUUUCUAAUGUUUUGCAGGAAUUUGAUGAUGUAUUUUCAAGGGAGUUGCCACAAAGAUUUCCUCCACUUCGAGGAAUUGAGCACUAAAUCUAAUUUGUUCUGGGAUCGCAAUUACCAAACAAGCUAGCUUAUAGGAGCAACCCCACGGAUAUGAAGGCAAUCCAAUGGCAAGUUGAGGACCUCCUCAACAAAGGAUACAUUAAGGAAAGCAUGAGUUCGUGCGCGGUCCCGGUGUUGCUUGUGCCGAAGAAAGAUGGGACGUGGCGAGUGUGCAUGGAUUUCCGAGCCAUAAAUAAAAUUACGAUAAAGUAUCCUCACCCUAUUCCUAGGCUAAAUGAUAUGCUUGAUGAACUAAAUGGCUCUUGUGUGUUUUCUAAGGUUGAUCUUAGGAGUGGAUAUCACCAAAUCCGUAUGCAAUCGGGUGAUAAAUGGAAGACCGUAUUCAAGACCAAAUUUGAUCUAUAUGAGUGAAUGGUCAGGCCAUUUGGUCUUACCAACGCUCCUAGUACCUUUAUACGUCUAAUGAAUCAUGUAAUGAAGCCGUUUAUUGGAAAAUUUGUGGUCAUGUACUUCGAUGAUGUUUUAGUUUACAGUAAGUCUCUUAAUGAACAUGUCUUGCAUCAAAUGAGUGUGUUUAAUGUUCUUACGAAAGAAAAGUUGUAUGCUAAUAUUGAAAAAUGCUCCUUUGGUGUGGAUAAAUUUGUAUUUUUGGGAUUUGUUGUGAGCUCGAGGGGAGUAGAGGUAGAUGAAUCUAAGAUAACCGCCAUUAAAGAUUGCCCAACCCCAAAAACUGUGGGUGAAGUUCGGAGCUUCCAUGGGUUGGAAAGUUUUUAUAGGAGGUUCGUCAAAGGAUUUAGUACCAUUGUCUCCCCCUUGACCGAAAUCAUCCGAAAGGACCAACCUUUCCAGUGGGGUAAAGAGCAAUCUAAAGACUUUAAGACCUUGAAAGACAUGUUCAUUUUGGCACCGUUUUUGCAAUUGCCUAACUUUGAUAAGAUGCUUGAAGUUGAAUGCGAUACUAGUGAGAUAGGCAUUGGGGAUGUUUUGAUGCAAGAUUUAAAGCCCAUUUCUUAUUUUAGUUAAAAUCUCAAAGGAGAAACUCUAAACUACUCUACGUAUGAUUUGGAGUUGUAUGCCUUGGUUAGAGCGUUAGGCAAUUGGCAACACUAUCUUUGGCCCAAGGAGUUCGUAAUCUAAACGGAUCAUGAAUCCUUCAAGCACCUUCUGGCAUAAGAUAAACUUAACAAACGGCAUGCCAAAUGGAUUGAAUUUCUUGAAACCUUUCCCUAUGUGAUUCAAUACAAAAGGGGAAGGAUAAUGUGUUAGCCGAUGCAUUGUCUAGGAAACAUGUUCUUGUGUCCACUUUGUCUUCCAAGUUAAUGGGUUUUGAGAGCCUCAAGUCUUUGUAUCUUGAGAACCCUUACUUCGCUCCUAUAUUUAGGGAAGGUUAAGCUAUGGCCCUCGAAUUCUAGUCCUUACAUCAUGUUUGAUGGGUUCUUAUUUUGGGGGAGACGAUUGUGUGUACUUUCUAAAUCUUAGAGAGAGUUGUUUGUGAGGGAGGCACACGACGGUGGUCUCAUGGGUUACUUUGGAAUUGAUAAGACCCUCUGAAUAUUGGAGGAGCAAUUCUAUUGGCCAAGAAUGCGCAAAGAUGUUGUCAAAAAUUGCGGCCAAUGCAUAGAUUAUAGGAGUGCUAAGUCGAGGCUCCUUCCUCACGGGUUAUACACCCCACUUCCCACUCCAUCAUGCCCAUGGUUUGAUAUUUGUAUGGAUUUUGUGUUGGGGAUGCCACGGACUCAAAGGGGUCGGGAUAGCAUUUUUGUUGUCGUUGAUCGUUUCUCCAAAAUGGCACACUUUAUUCCUUGGAAAAAUAGUGAAGAUGCGGCUAGUGUAGCUUCUUUAUUUAUUGAAGAUGUUUUUAAGUUACACGGCAUCCCAAGAACCAUUGUAAGUGAUAGGGAUUCUAAGUUCCUUAUUCACUUUUGGAAGUCAAUGUAGGGUAGGCUCGGCACUAAAUUGUUGUUUUCUACAUCUUGCCACCCACAAACCAAUGGACAAAGGAAAGUAGUAAAUUAAACCUUGGGUUCUAUGCUAUGUUCCAUGGUUAAAGGUAAUUUGACAUCUUGGGAAAAUCACCUGCCUCUCAUAGAAUUUGCUUACAAUCGGGUGAUUCAUUCGAAUACAGGCAUUACGCCCUUUGAAUGUGUCUACGGCUUCAAUCCCCUAACCCCCUUGGAUCUAAAUCCUUUUCCAAGUGAUGUUGUUAUUAGCUUAUAUGGAAACAAUAGGGCCUAAUCCAUGAAAAUCUUGCAUAAGAAGGUGAGGAUGCGGCUUGAGAAUAAAAAGAAAGAUGUGGCGAAAUGAGUCAACAAAGGGAGAAAGUGUCUUAUACUUGAGCCGGGAGAUUGGGUGUGGGUACACCUACGUAAGGACAGGUUUCCCAAACAAAUAAAGGGAAAGUUUCUUCCAAGAGGUGACGGUCCAUUCCAAGUUCUUGAAAGAAUCAAUGAUAAUCCUUACAAGAUCGACUUUCACUGGAAUACCAAGUGCAUAACACGUUCAACGUGUGUGAUCUCUCACGAGUAGAUACCAUUGAAUAUUAAGAAACCAUGAGUUUGAGGUCAAAAUCUUCUCAAGAUGGAGAGGAUGAUACGGGUGUCUUAGACCUGAGACCAUUUACUAGAAGUCAAGCUCGGGAACUACAAAGGCUUCACGGCGCGUUUAUGAAAAUAGACGCGGUUGAGAUUGUUACAAAUUCUCACAAGGAGGUGUACGUCUAGAAAUGUAGGUGCUGACCUUAGGGUCCCAAAAGACACUCCAAGGCUUCCUCAAACACUUCACACCCGCCACCCCUUCAUUAAGGGCAAAAAGGUCUUUUUACCAUUCUUUUUUGUAAAGACUAUUUAAGGUGUUUCUUUGGUCUUGUUCUCUUUAUAUAGCUCAUUUUAAAAUCACUUUGUAACAUUUAACACCAUAUUUCCUCUCAAGAAGAGAGUAGACCACCAAGCAUUUUAAGCUUUAUAAAUGAAAGGUUCCACUUGUGUUAUGAAAUGGCUAGAAACGAGAGUGCUUGAGUGAACGGAGUUCCUCUUGUGUUCCCGUAAGAGCUUGGUGCUUGUUAAUGUGAUUUGUAGAGGUUUUAGAGUUUGAUACACUCUUUAGUUGCUAUAUUUUAUAUUCUCUUUGUGUCAAGUUAUCUAUCUCCUUAUCUUUCAAAUUUGUGUGUUUGUUGUUUCCGUUGGAUGUCUUGUAUGUGUGGACUAUUUUGUGAGUUUGUGGAUUAUUUUGUGCUCUUGUAGAUACCAGUUGGUAUCAUUCACUGCUCUCAACCACCACUUACAGUUUGUAUUAGCACAUUUGAAGCAAAAGACACUGCUCGAUUAAUCACCUUCUUUAUUCUGAAAUCUUUUUUCAAGUAAGAAAUAAAUAAAGUGGUAAAUAAUUCAUUCUUGUCCUUCAAUGACAUUCCAAUAAAAAGUUAGUCCCUUCAUCUUGAAUAUUUCCAGAAUGUGUCAAUUGAGAAGAACUACCCAUUGUAUUAGUCGCAUCAAUGGGCGUAGGUGUUUGAUCGUCAUCUGGAAUAUUCAUUUCUAGAUCAUCUAACCUAUCAUCAAAGAUGUAUUGUUGUUGCUGUUCUUUUACGUUUUGGUUCUCAUUCUCUCUCCUCUUUUUAACCACGUACACCCUUAACAUCGGCCUGGAUAAAUCAUUAAGAUAAGCACGUAAACGAACCUGAUCGGUUAUCUUGAAAGGUAGUACCCUCUAAUGUUCAAAGGAGUUGUGCAUGUAGCUGAUGACGAGUUCUUUCGGUUGAUAAUUCAGUUCACAAUAGCUUAUGACUAAGAUCACAAAAUCAUCGUAUGAAAUAUCACUUUGGACUGUCAUAGCUAUCAUCUCUAGCAUUUCACUCUCCUUCCAGUGCCAUACAUAUCGAUUGCUCUUCUCGAUCCAUUGACUAUGACAAUCCACUCCUAUUGUUAUUGAUCCCUCCAUUAGUGGUACCUAAAUAAAGUAAUUUGUUAAAAAAAGUUAAUAAUGAUUUCAUAGUGCCAUAACAUGAAUCCCAACAGAUGUGUAACCUGUUGCAACAGAUAAGUGAUCAAUCGCAACAAAUUACUAACCUGUUAGAAUUAUGUUACGCUUCUGGAGCUGAUUUCAACAGAUGAGUCAUCUGUUAUAACAGGUGAAACAUCUGUUGCAACAGACUAUGAGGUUGUUGGAACGAUUAUAGGUUCUGUUGCAACCGGUUAUUAAUCUGUUGCAAUAGAUAUUUACCCUACUGCAAUAGAUAACUAGUUUAUCGGAAUUGAGCUUAGGUUCUGUUACAACAGGUAACUAAUCUGUUGCAAUAGAUAUUUACCCCUAUUGCAAUAGAUAACUAGUUUGUUGCAACAGAUAACCCAUCUGUUCGAUUCAAUCAUAAACAUAAAUCCAACAUAUCUCUUCCGUUGCAACAGAUGGCUCAUAUGUUGUAACAGAUGAUUGAUUUGUUUAAACAGAUGUCUCUUAUGUUGCAUUCAUGUUCGUGUGCUAUCUAUUGUUGAAAAAACAGCACAAUAACUGUUACCUAGAUGACAAAUUCAACUAAAAAUCAUAAUUUGACUUAUCAAAGUCUCCCGUGAAGUAAUGCCAAAGUGGAAAGUUAUGUAUGAAAUAAAAUUUUACCUAAGAAAUUAGUCAGAUAGCACCAGUAGCGGUAACAAAAACGAUAAUGGUCAACAAGAAGAAGAUAAAGAUGAUAAUGAAGUAGAAGAUGAUGAUAAUGAAGCAGAAGAUGAUGAAGAAAGCAGCAACAAUAAUGAACAACAAAAAUCGCUAAUAGAAAGAAAACAACAAUAGAUGAGAAGAGGGAGAAACACGUCUUUUUUCUCUCUGUUUCUCAUUAUAUUAGGUAAAUAUUUGGAUCAAAGUGUAUAUUUAAAAACAUCUGGGUUAUUUUGAAAUUUUUCCAACUUUCUUAAUCCUUAAUAAAGUAAUUGUCACCUCUACUCAAUUAUUAAGACUUAUAUCACCUACACUUCAUUUUAAAAUUCUUUUAUCACCUACAGCUCAAAGCCUCUAGUGAUUAAGGCUAUUGAAGUUGUGUGUAGACGGUUCUUAUGGACAGAAGGCACUGAGAAGUCCCAUAAGCACUAGUUUCUUGGAAAACACUCUGCAAACCAAUCUCUCCCAGAGGGCUUAAUAUUGAUGAUAUAUUGACAUGGAAUAAAGUAGCAAUAUGUAAAAUGCUCUGGAACAUAUGCAACAAAAAAGAUAAGCUUUGGAUUCAAUGGAUUCAUACGUACUAUGGGAAGAAGUGUCCAAAAUGGGCAGUAUAUCCUAAGCAAGCAUCAUGGGUCCUAAAAAAGAAAGCCAGUUGGUGGGUAAGGAAAGCAGGCCUCCAACUAAUUGAUUUUGCAGAUAUAGAUAAGUAUUCUAUAAAAACAAUGUACCUUAAACUCAGGGGAAAUUUCCAAAAGGUAACAUGGCAUAGGCUAAUAUGCAAUAAUAUGGGGGCUCAAAGAUAGAAAUUCAUACUCUACCUUGCAAUCUUAGGCAGGUUGAGUACCAAAGAGAGACUAGUUUUUUGGGGUGUGGUGGAUGAUCUACUAUGUCUUUUAUGUGGACAGGGGGAUGAAUAUACUGAACACUUAUUCUUCGACUGUUCUUUCUCUGCUUCUAUCUGGACUAAUUUACUAAAGUGGCAAGGUAUAGAUAGACAACCUGCUAGAUGGACAGAAGAACUAACAUGGUUUGUGGCCAACAUGCAAGGGAAAUCUGCACAAGCAGAGGUGUAUAGAGCAACAGUAACAGCUGGUGUAUAUCAUCUAUGGCAAGAAAGGAACUUGAGGGUCUUCCAAAGUAAACAAAGGACACCUACUAUACUUACAAGGCAGAUCAUCCAAGAGGUGUACCUUAGAGGAUCGCUGAAGAUCCAACUAGCACUUAGACUACUAGAUCUUAAUUUUUUUCCUUAGUGAUUUAACCUACAGUAGCAAAGUUAUGCUCUUGCUUAGUUUGGCCUGAAACUUGGGACUAUAUCCAAGAGCAGGAACUAAGUAGGAAUUUUGUUAUUUGUGCUACACUCAUCUUACUUUGGUAAUAAAAUUAUUGAGUUACCAAAAAAAAGCAUGAACUUGUUAAAAAUUUGAAUCACUUUAUCUGUAAUCAUACGUUAAAGACAUCUUUUUUUCUUCCCCAGAGUCAUCCCAAAUUCAAUAUUUAGAAUUCUUAAAGAACCAUCAAGAUCCUAUUCAUUUUAUUCCUAUCAAUCUAAAUCACAAAACAAAAGAAUAAUUUAAAUAGUACCUUUUGCAUUGCGAUCAUUCAUGCAACCAAUUGGUCUUUAAUUGUUUUGUCGACAUGUAACCUCAUGUGUGCACGAUCCUCUUCUAGUGUACUUUGUAACUAAGCAGUCGUUUGUUCACGUUCUUCUUGCAUUUUCCUAUUCAUUUCUGCACAUACUUAUAGCUAUAAUGGUAAAAAUAAGGUAAUUCUAAUAUAUAACUAUAUAGGCUUUUAUGUAUAGCAAUCUGAGAGAAUUUAUAGUUAAAACCUCUAUUGCUAUCUAUCAUUUUUCUGCUUACUACAGAGGAUAGAUAAGUGUUCGAUUGUAUUUUAAGAGAUUUUUACGUAAAAGUUAGGUUAAAUCGUAUUGUUUAGAUAUCUUAAUUAUCGUAUUGUUUUGUCGUAGUCUCUGCUUUGUUGGUAUAAGCUAUUGUUUCUACUUAAUACAAGUGGCUAGAUGAAUGUUCGGUUGGACUAUAAAUAAUUUUUGUAUAAAGAUAAGGUUUAAUCGUACUAUUAUGAUAUCUUGAUUAUCAUAUUGUUUGUCUGAUUUGUUGCUAUUGCUUUUUUUUUUUUCUGGUUAAUACAGGCGGUGGAUGAAUGUUCUUUCGGGCUUUAAAUUUUUUUUUUUAUAAAAGUGAGGUUUAAUCUAUUGUUGCAAUAUCUCGAUUUUCAUAUUGUUUGUCUGUUCUGUUGCUAUCUGCUUUUUUUCUGCUUAAUACAGUUGAUUACAGGAGAAGUUACAACACUAAGGUUAGUUUGUGUCGUAGUUUUUUCUUAUUCUUAUUGGGAUAAUUUUUUUCUUUUGAGUAGGAGUCCAUUUUUUGUUCCUCAAACUAUUAUUAUUAUUAUUUAUAUUUAUUGU
This 27417-nucleotide long non-coding RNA is filed under the name Capsicum annuum. RNAcentral describes it as "long non-coding RNA (CANN_LNC007780)". Lineage: Eukaryota; Viridiplantae; Streptophyta; Magnoliopsida; Solanales; Solanaceae. The record is from RNAcentral.